This 5683-nucleotide long non-coding RNA is filed under the name Podarcis lilfordi (Lilford's wall lizard). Lineage: Eukaryota; Metazoa; Chordata; Lepidosauria; Squamata; Lacertidae. The record is from RNAcentral.
GGUAUUUUAACUGGACUGGAUCCAGGAGCAAUAAAUGGACAUGGGCACUGACACUGAAGACUCAGAGCAAGACUGAGAAAGAGAUAAAUAGAAGAACAAGAAAUGAAGAUUUCCUCUGAAACUACAACUUCCAUGCUCCAAGUCUAGAGCAGGGGUAGGCAACCUAAGGCCCAAGGGUCAGAUGUGGCACAAUCGCCUUCUCAGUCCGGUCCGCGGACGGUCCAGGAAUCAGCAUGUUUUCACAUGAGUAGAAUGUGUCCUUUUAUUUAAAAUGCAUCUCUGGGUGAUUUGUGAGGCAUAGGAAUUUGUUCAUUUUACCCCCCAAAAUAUAGUCUGGCCCAUCACAUGGUCUGAGGGAUAGUGGACCGGUCUGCGGCUGAAAAAGGUUGCUGACCCUUUGUCUAGAGUCAAAGUUGGAGAACUUCACUUGAGCUCUAAUCACAACUGUCUUCAAAUUCCAGCUUUUGUUCUUCUAGCUUAUGUCCCCUAGAUCUGGUGAGUGAACUCCUCCUUCAGGCACCUCUAUGGCUGCAGUCUCUCUACUCUCUCCAUUCCCUGCCUCACUUAUGGGUCUGUCUACAAACCAGCAAUGCCCAUAUAGGUCAUUUCCAGGUGCCAUAGUUCUCACUGUGAAGCGGGUAGGUUUGAUAGCAGUGUCAAGUUAGGGUGAAAGCUAGUGGUCCUGAAACUCCAUAUGAAUGCAAGAGUGCUUCAAACAUCCUUUUAACCAUCAUGGCACCUUGAGCUUGCUGAGAGAGAUAAAUUUGGCAUCAACACGGCCAAGAGACUCCUGGGACUGAAGGGCAAGGAAGUAUCGUUUCAAACAAGGGGUGCUGUCCUUCCUGUGUUGUAGCGCAUAAUUGGUAAUGAGCACAUCAGAGAUCUCCCAAGGAAAUGCUGUAAAAUUGCUGGGGAAGCUUUUGCUCCAGCAACAAUCCUAGAACUACUUACCCAAACGAAAUCUCCAUUGAUCUCAAUGGGAUUUCUUAGUAGACGUGUUUAGAGGAAUCAAUAUCUUUUUUCCUAUCUGAGUAGAAGUCAUUGUAGCAAAGACAUUUUUAUCUAGACAAGCCUCUGGCCCCACAACAUGACAUUGGAUUUAACUGGUUGUUUUAUUGCUUUUAAUGCUUGCUUUAUCUGCCUUGGUUUUUAUUUAUUUAUUUAGUUUGUAUUUGACUGCCACACGACUUUAUUGUAUUUUAUUCUAUUUGCAUUAUUUCUGUUAGUGCCUGGAGCUAAAUAAAUACUGUGGAGUCAGGGUUCUGUCAAAUCAGGCAGGUGCAGAAAGAGGCAUAACACUUGAUUUAACACAGAGCGAUGUCUUCCCCCAGAUGCUGUUAUAAUUUUAUUGUGUACUAAAUACAUCCAUAAUUACUCUGUAGUAAAUCCCACUGAAUUCAAUGGGGCCUGCUUCCAGGUAAGGGGAUAGGAUUGCAGCCUUGUUGAGAUCAUUCUAUUAUCGUAUGGAAGGGCUGCGUAUGACCCUUGUGCAGCGUGUGGCAACGUCGGCAAGCUCAAUACAAAUAACAACAAAUAAUAAUGUUGAAAAUACAAUGUAUAGCUAGCCAAUAUGUAUAUGAAUCCCCGCCAAGGAAAACAUUUUGCAGAGCUGCUUGCGUCAGCUUUUCUACAAAUCAGUUUCUCCGGGCAAAUUGAUGAGGUUACAUAGCAGGAGCGAGAGCUGAAAGAAAAAUCCAUACUGAAGAAUGAACAGCUACAAACAAUAACGUUGUUCAAACAUGUGUUUCUUGCUGAGUGUGGCUGACAAUGAUAAUGGUGCUUUCUACAGACAAAGGAAGAUUCUGUUCUAAGAGAAGAAUCACCAUUUAAAUUACAGCACUCGCUUGACUUGAUUUAUUAACAGUUUAGGUUCCAGAUCAUUUUCACGGUGGCGGGGGGACAAAAUGAUAUCGGAUUUUAAGGAGCUAUGCCACUUAAGCUGAGAGGCAAAUAGGAACAUGUACCCAACUUGGGCAAGCAAAAGUUUAGAUUUACUCUAAACAAAUAUGUGAAUUUGUAACAUGACUGUUUGCUGAAGCACUACAUUUCCUAGGGUACCUAUCACAACCUGGAUAUUGUUUCAGGGACCCUGUGCCAAGUGUCCCCAUCAAACGCAGUGAGGUGGGUAGCCAGUGAGGACCUUUCCAAUAGUGAAACCUUGGAUGUAGAAUAGCCUUCUCAGAGAGGUUCACCUGACUCCAACUUUCAGGCAUUUUUGGUGCCUGGUAAAGACCUUUCUAGUCACCCAGGCCCUUUAAAUACAGACAACAACCAAUUUACAAGUCUCCAAUUGACACACGAGUGUGCAUGGCACUGAACCGUGAACUAACCCUAAACCGUCUCUAAAAGGGCAGAAUAGAGGGAGGGUGGAUCACUUUAUGCAGUCCCCACCAAUGCAUUCAGAGAUCUGGGAUGUAACCCCGAAGCAAAACGAGGAUUGUCUGUACAGUGGUACCUCGGGUUAAGUACUUAAUUCGUUCCGGAGGUCUGUACUUAACUUGAAACUGUUCUUAACCUGAAGCACCACUUUAGCUAAUGGGGCCUCCUGCUGCUGCCGCGCCGCUGGAGCACGAUUUCUGUUCUCAUCCUGAAGCAAAGUUCUUAACCUGAAGCACUAUUUAUGGGUUAGUGGAGUCUGUAACCUGAAGCGUAUGUAACCUGAGGUACCACUGUAUAUAUAAACAUCAUUUUUCCAGAAAAACUGAGCAAAUUAUACAAAGGAAAUGGGGAUUAAAGUUGAUGGUCACCACAUAAAGCUUAUUAUUGCGUAUUACAUUUGUCAGUCACUUAAUACUAAAAAGGAUCAAAACAACCAGCUAAAAUACAGAUAAAAUAAAUGAAAAACCAGAAAAUUUAACACAAUGUUAAGUACAAAAUUCCUAAAAUGUUUAUCCAACAACACACUGAGAAAGUUAAGUUAUAUCCGUGUGUCCCCCCCCCAAAAAAUAUGAGCUUAUAUGAAAUAUACUCAAGAGUCGCAAAGUGAUUUCAUGCUCUUUAUUCAGCUCAUAGUGGUGAGGAGGAAUGAAUGAAAGUCCCCUCACAGUAUCUGCUUUAUAUACAUUAUUUACACAAUGGGCUGCACAUGAUUGGCUAAUUCCGGAAUUCUACUGUAAGCCAAUCAGGUUGUGGAUUCACUUCUAUCUGGAGCAUGAUUGGGUGGUUCCUGCCAACCAAUCAUACUGCUGCAUUGUUCUAGGACCAAUCAAACUGCUGCAUUCUGAAUCCUAUUGUUCUAGGACCAAUCAGACUGCUGCAUUUUGGAUCCUAUUGUUCUAGGACCAAUCAGACUGCUGCAUUUUGAAUCCUAUUGUUCUAGGACCAAUCAGACUGCUGCAGUUUGGAUCCUAUUCAACUCAGUACAUAACAUUAUAUUUUGUGGGGGCGAGGGUUCAUCUCAAGUGUUGUCCUUUCCUGUCUUAAUUCAUCAACCUAAAAUUUCCUUCCACAAUUAGCCAUAUGUAUCCUGUGUUUGCCUAUGCCAGGGGUCGGCAACGUUUACCUUGCCAGGUCUGGUUCACUCCAGCGGAGAUCCCUAAGUGGGCCGGCAAUUUCGUGCUUUCCGGCAUCUGCGCAUGCGCAGACACAAUCUCCGGCACCGCGAAAGCGAGUCCCCAUACAGUGCUGCACUGGUAUAGCGCAGCACUUGGGGACUUGCCAGCAGGCUGCCCAGUUCGGGGGCAGCUAAUGGGCUGGUUAAAUGACCCCCGUGGGCCGCUUGUGGGCCAUGGGCCUUAGGUUGCUGACCCCUGGCCUAUGCAUUUACCAUAAAAUAGUAUUAAACAUCUCAAAAAUCAUCUGCCCCAAGCUUUUUAGAUAUCUUACGUUUUACAGUCAAGGCAUCCUAGUUUUACACUGGGAUUUUUAAUUGUAUUUUAGUGUUUCUUGAUUAAUUUGCUAUAUAGAAAUACAUGUUUUUCCAAACAGAUAAUUCAAUGAUUUAGUACCAUAUUUAAAAUGAGGGGUUGAAUAUUUACAUAGGUGCAUUUACCAAGUUCUCUCUUAGAAAGUAAAAAAGAGAUCCGAAGUAGAUUGGUGCAUUGUGUUUAAAAAAGAACUGUAUGAUGCUGCAGUAAGAACUAACAAAAAGACUACAAUAAUAGACGUUUUCAGAAAAGAUUGUUGAUAGCUGAGUUGAACAUUAUGGAACAUGCUGUAAAGGUGGACGUUUGAAUAUCCAUGGCUACAAAGGACUAUAGCGAUUACGGCACUUGAUGCGGCCACUGUCGAUGUAAUCUGUAACUGCCUAGUAACAGAUACCAAGAUAAGAUGUAUCACAUGUUUGGCACUUCAACUACCUGGGUCAGAUCCUCAAAGCAGCUUCUUACAAAACCACAAUACAGUCUGAAGACACCAGAAUGUCCCGCCAACUCACUUGUGCAUGCAGAAAAUGAAACGUGGGAACAAUUUAUACACGUUUACCCUUAGGUGCUGCUGAGACAUGCCUAAAUGUCUUCAAAGCAAAUAACAGCGCAAUCCUAACUAUGCCUCCUCAGAAGUAAGUGCUACUGAAUUCAGUGGGGCAGAUUCCCAGGUAAGUGGGGUGAGGAUUGUAGCCUAAAACAGAGAGUGUGAAAUCAACUGAAAACUGAUUUUGGCCUGGCGAUCCUGAUCUUUAUCACCCUGCACCUCAUGGGCCAACUUUGACAGGUGGGCAGAACCACCCACAUGUCAAUCAGCUGGUAGCAGGUGGGCAGUCCUAAAAGUUGCCCCAUGGGGUGGAAGGAGAUAGUCACCAAGCUGGACUGAACCCUGUGCAUCAAGAAAUUAAGGCUGCAACCUGAUUAAAGGAGCACAAAUAGAUUAAUCAUCAGAUUUCAGUCAAAUAAGCUCUAGGUUAAAUGUGCUUAUCGUAAAACAUUUUCUCCUAUUCUUAACAUUUGAAUAAAUAUGAUACUGAGUGAAAACACUUCAUGUUACAUCCCUCUCCACACUGUGAAAUCAGGUGUGCUUUGAAGUUGCCAUAAUCCCUUCUUUUUGUUCUCAGAAGCUAGCUAUCAGAGGUAUGCUGCCUCUGUAAAUGGAGAUUCUGUUUCUAACUAUCAAGGCUAAUAAAGAUCACACAAAGAUCCAGUUGGUAUUGCAUCCUCUUAUCAAAAGUAGUCCACCAAAUAAAAUCUUCUUCCCCUUGUCCCCCUACAUGUACUCCAAUAGCUGGUAAUCACCAGCUGCAAUACAACAGGAGCAUUUUAGCAACCAGACCGAUGUUUCUAAGAAGCCCUCAUGGUUGACCUCUCGCCACUCCAUUGUAGAUACGAGUAAACAUUCAUCUGCAGGAUAGAACAGAGCAUCUCUUGUCGGGGUGAGCUGAGGGCAGCUGUCGGCAGGGGAACCAGGAGCUGAGCAAGAGCUGAAGGAGGCAAGCCAGGGAGACAAAGAACAACUGAAACACACCAGAGUGUGAUGCUAUCAGGGCAGAACUUGGGGGCAGAUCCUUAGGGUCCUCCUGAACAAGAGGAAUCCCAAAGGCAGCAGGACUGGCUUACUGCAUUUUGAAGGAAGUGAAGUAAUGCACAUCGCCAUCUAAAGAGGGGGUCUGCCUUUCAACUACACAGUAUGCCACUGAAGAAGAUGAUAAACUGAAACGUGUCUAGUACGUUUUCUGAAAUAUAUCUGUUGCAAACUGUCUGCAUCUUCCAGAUUUCAACGUUUUGGACAACCAUACCUUUGUAUUUCAUUGCUG